This 543-nucleotide ribosomal RNA is filed under the name uncultured bacterium. Its description in RNAcentral is "bacterial SSU rRNA". It matches the Rfam family "Bacterial small subunit ribosomal RNA", at positions 33 to 575 of the family's 1533-position model. The record is from RNAcentral.
AGGCUGGCGGCGUGGUUGACUCAUGCAGAGUCRAGGGAAGCACUAAUUUUCAAUUCUUCGGAAGAGAUGUUUAGUGACUUACCGGCGGACGGGUGAGUAACGCGUGGGUAACCUGCCUCAUACAGGGGGAUAACAGUUAGAAAUGACUGCUAAUACCGCAUAAGAUCACAGGAUCGCACGAUACAGUGAUAAAAACUCUGGUGGUAUGAGAUGGACCCGCGUCUGAUUAGCUAGUUGGUAAGGUAACGGCUUACCAAGGCAACGAUCAGUAGCCGGCCUGAGAGGGUGAACGGCCACAUUGGGACUGAGACACGGCCCAAACUCCUACGGGAGGCAGCAGUGAGGAAUAUUGCACAAUGGGGGAAACCCUGAUGCAGCGACGCCGCGUGAAGGACGAAGUAUUUCGGUACGUAAACUUCUAUCAGCAGGGAAGAAAAUGACGGUACCUGACUAAGAACCCCGGCUAACUACGUGCCAGCAGCCGCGGUAAUACGUAGGGGGCAAGCGUUAUCCGGAUUUACUGGGUUUUAAAGGGAGCGUAAA